This 633-nucleotide ribosomal RNA is filed under the name Rotylenchulus reniformis. RNAcentral's name for it is "SSU rRNA". It matches the Rfam family "Eukaryotic small subunit ribosomal RNA", at positions 1003 to 1664 of the family's 1831-position model. The record is from RNAcentral. Lineage: Eukaryota; Metazoa; Nematoda; Chromadorea; Rhabditida; Hoplolaimidae.
GGCGAUCAGAUACCGCCCUAGUUCUGACCGUAAACGAUGCCAACUAGCGAUCCGCCAGUCGACUCAUCGCUCUGGUGGGGAGCUUCCCGGAAACGAAAGUCUUCCGGUUCCGGGGGAAGUAUGGUUGCAAAGCUGAAACUUAAAGGAAUUGACGGAAGGGCACCACCAGGAGUGGAGCCUGCGGCUUAAUUUGACUCAACACGGGGAAACUCACCCGGCCCGGACACCGUAAGGAUUGACAGAUUGAUAGCUUUUUCAUGAUUCGGUGGAUGGUGGUGCAUGGCCGUUCUUAGUUCGUGGAGCGAUUUGUCUAGUUUAUUCCGAUAACGAGCGAGACUCUGGCCUACUAAAUAGUUGGCACAUUGCCACUGUGUGCACAACUUCUUAGAGGGAUUUUCGGUGUUCAGCCGCACGAAAUUGAGCAAUAACAGGUCUGUGAUGCCCUUAGAUGUCCGGGGCUGCACGCGCGCUACACUGGCAAAAUCAGCGUGCUUGUCCUCCCCCGAAAGGGGUUGGUAAACCGAUGAAAAUUUGCCGUGAUUGGGAUCGGACAUUGCAAUUAUUGUCCGUGAACGAGGAAUCCCUUGUAAGGGCGAGUCAUCAACUCGUCCUGAAUACGUCCCUGCCCUUGUA